UACGUAGGGCGCAAGCGUUAUCCGGAAUUAUUGGGCGUAAAGAGCUUGUAGGCGGUUUGUCGCGUCUGCUGUGAAAUUUCGGGGCUCAACCCCGAACUUGCAGUGGGUACGGGCAGACUAGAGUGAUGUAGGGGAGACUGGAAUUCCUGGUGUAGCGGUGAAAUGCGCAGAUAUCAGGAGGAACACCGAUGGCGAAGGCAGGUCUCUGGGCAUUAACUGACGCUGAGGAGCGAAAGCAUGGGGAGCGAACAGG
Molecule: ribosomal RNA, 253 nt
Filed under: uncultured bacterium
Lineage: Bacteria
Description: partial 16S ribosomal RNA
Rfam family: Bacterial small subunit ribosomal RNA
Source: RNAcentral